UACGGGGGGAGCAAGCGUUGUUCGGAUUUACUGGGCGUAAAGGGCGCGUAGGCGGUGUGUCAAGUCAGGCGUGAAAGCCCCGGGCUCAACCUGGGAACAGCGCUUGAGACUGGCACGCUCGAGUUCGGGAGAGGAUGGUGGAAUUCCCAGUGUAGAGGUGAAAUUCGUAGAUAUUGGGAAGAACACCGAUGGCGAAGGCAGCCAUCUGGACCGACACUGACGCUGAGGCGCGAAAAGCGUGGGGGAGCAAAACAGG
RNAcentral lists this ribosomal RNA (256 nucleotides) under uncultured bacterium. RNAcentral describes it as "partial 16S ribosomal RNA". It matches the Rfam family "Bacterial small subunit ribosomal RNA", at positions 524 to 776 of the family's 1533-position model. The record is from RNAcentral.